AUUGAACGCUGGCGGCAGGCCUAACACAUGCAAGUCGAGCGAGCGGCGGACGGGUGAGUAAUGUAUGGGGACUGCCCGAUAGAGGGGGAUAACUACUGGAAACGGUGGCUAAUAACGCAUACUAUCGGAUAACCCAUAGGGGAUUAGCUAGUCGGUGGGGUAAAGGCUAACCUAGGCGACGAUCUCUAGCUGGUCUGAGAGGAUGAUCAGCCACACUGGGACUUAGACACGGCCCAGACUCCUACGGAGGCAGCAGUGGGGAAUAUUGCACAAUGGGCGCAAGCCUGAUGCAGCCAUGCCGCGUGUAUGAAGAAGGCCUUAGGAUUGUAAAGUACUGUCAGCAGAGAGGCGUUACCCACAGAAGAAGCACCGGCUAACUACGUGCCAGCAGCCGCGGUAAUAC
RNAcentral lists this ribosomal RNA (403 nucleotides) under uncultured bacterium. Its description in RNAcentral is "partial 16S ribosomal RNA". It matches the Rfam family "Bacterial small subunit ribosomal RNA", at positions 30 to 526 of the family's 1533-position model. The record is from RNAcentral.